RNAcentral lists this ribosomal RNA (301 nucleotides) under uncultured bacterium. RNAcentral describes it as "partial 16S ribosomal RNA". It matches the Rfam family "Bacterial small subunit ribosomal RNA", at positions 509 to 809 of the family's 1533-position model. The record is from RNAcentral.
CAGUCGCCGCGGGAACACGGAGGGGGCUAGCGUUGUUCGGAAUUACUGGGCGUAAAGCGCACGUAGGCGGCUUGGUAAGUUAGAGGUGAAAGCCUGGAGCUCAACUCCAGAAUUGCCUUUAAGACUGCCGAGCUAGCAGGUGAGAGAGGUAAGUGGAAUUCCGAGUGUAGAGGUGAGAUUCGUAGGUAUUCGGAAGAACACCAGUGGCGAAGGCGGCUUACUGGCUCAUACUGGACGCUGAGGUGCGAAAGCGUGGGGAGCAAACAGGAUUAGAUACCCCUGUAGUCCCUGUCUCUUAUAU